This 2191-nucleotide small RNA is filed under the name Pan troglodytes (chimpanzee). RNAcentral's name for it is "processed transcript". Lineage: Eukaryota; Metazoa; Chordata; Mammalia; Primates; Hominidae. The record is from RNAcentral.
GGAAUUCGGGUGACUUUGCUCCAAGAUACAUGCGUGUGUCCCGACUCUCACUUAAUUUAUAGGGGAGAGGGACUCGCCAAAUCCCUGUUUUCUGGGGGACCUACCAGGGCCAGUGGGUCGGUGGCAUGCGCCAGGGCUAUGGCGUGCGGCAGAGCGUCCCGUAUGGCAUGGCUGCGGUCAUCCGCUCACCCCUGAGGACGUCCAUCAACUCCCUGCGCAGCGAGCACACCAACGGCACGGCGCUGCAUCCCGACGCCUCUCCGGCGGUGGCCGGCAGCCCGGCCGUGUCCCGCGGGGGCUUCGUGCUCGUGGCCCACAGUGACUCCGAGAUCCUCAAGAGCAAGAAGAAGGGGCUGUUUCGGCGCUCGCUGCUGAGCGGGCUGAAGCUGCGCAAGUCGGAGUCCAAGAGCAGCCUGGCCAGCCAACGCAGCAAGCAGAGCUCCUUCCGCAGCGAGGCGGGCAUGAGCACCGUCAGCUCCACGGCCAGCGACAUCCACUCCACCAUCAGCCUGGGCGAGGCUGAGGCCGAGCUGGCGGUCAUCGAGGACGACAUCGACGCCACCACCACCGAGACCUACGUGGGCGAGUGGAAGAACGACAAACGCUCCGGCUUCGGCGUGAGCCAGCGCUCGGAUGGGCUCAAGUACGAGGGCGAGUGGGCCAGCAACCGGCGCCACGGCUACGGCUGCAUGACCUUCCCGGACGGCACCAAGGAGGAGGGCAAGUACAAGCAGAACAUUCUCGUCAGCGGCAAGCGCAAGAACCUCAUCCCCCUGCGGGCCAGCAAGAUCCGCGAGAAGGUGGACCGUGCCGUUGAGGCCGCUGAGCGGGCCGCCACCAUCGCCAAGCAGAAGGCUGAGAUCGCGGCUUCCAGGACCUCCCACUCUCGGGCAAAGGCCGAGGCAGCCCUCACGGCGGCUCAGAAAGCCCAGGAGGAGGCGCGGAUCGCCAGGAUCACUGCCAAAGAGUUCUCCCCUUCCUUCCAGCACCGGGAAAACGGGCUGGAGUACCAGAGACCGAAGCGUCAGACCUCCUGUGACGACAUCGAGGUGCUGUCCACCGGGACACCCCUGCAGCAGGAGAGCCCCGAGCUGUACCGCAAGGGCACCACCCCCUCCGACCUGACCCCCGACGACAGCCCCCUGCAGAGCUUCCCCACCAGCCCCACGGCCACCCCGCCGCCCGCGCCCGCCACCAGGAACAAGGUCGCCCACUUCUCGCGGCAGGUGUCGGUGGACGAGGAGCGGGGCGGGGACAUCCAGAUGCUCCUGGAGGGCCGGGCCGGGGACUGCGCCCGCAGCAGCUGGGGCGAGGAGCAGACCGGGGGCUCCAGGGGUGUCCGCAGCGGUGCCCUGCGCGGCGGCCUGCUCGUGGAUGACUUCCGCACCCGAGGUUCGGGCCGCAAGCAGCCCGGGAACCCCAAGCCGCGGGAGCGGCGGACGGAGUCACCCCCCGUGUUCACGUGGACUUCCCACCACCGGGCCAGCAACCACAGCCCCGGAGGCUCCAGGCUGCUGGAGCUGCAGGAGGAGAAGCUGAGCAACUACCGGAUGGAGAUGAAACCCCUGCUGAGGAUGGAGACGCACCCCCAGAAAAGACGCUACAGCAAGGGCGGCGCCUGCCGGGGCUUGGGGGACGACCACCGCCCCGAGGACCGGGGCUUCGGGGUGCAGAGACUGCGGUCCAAGGCCCAGAACAAGGAGAACUUCAGGCCGGCCUCCUCCGCGGAGCCCGCCGUGCAGAAACUGGCGAGCCUGCGGCUGGGCGGGGCCGAGCCCCGGUUGCUGCGUUGGGACUUGACCUUCUCCCCGCCCCAGAAAUCCUUGCCUGUCGCUCUAGAGUCCGACGAGGAGAAUGGGGAUGAGCUCAAGUCCAGUACGGGCUCAGCGCCUAUCCUGGUGGUCAUGGUGAUCUUGCUCAACAUCGGAGUCGCCAUUCUGUUUAUUAACUUUUUCAUCUGAUGAGAUGUCGCGGUAGCGAAAAUAGAGAAAGGGUAGAAAAAAGGGACAUUAAAAUUAAAAGCAAAACCACAAGAAGGGAAAGACCGCAACUCGGACAGCCCAGCGACUACCAAGUCCUCUCACAGAAGAACCACACGAUUGGGGUCGCUCCAUCACCCAAACAAAAGAACAAGGUUUGCCAGGAUGUCCGAGUGCCCCCUGGCCCUGGCUCUCGUGUGCAUGGACGUGCC